Molecule: long non-coding RNA, 1355 nt
Organism: Benincasa hispida (wax gourd)
Lineage: Eukaryota; Viridiplantae; Streptophyta; Magnoliopsida; Cucurbitales; Cucurbitaceae
Source: RefSeq, a predicted model, not a curated record
UCUCUCCUACCCAAACCCUUUCAUUUCUCUCUUACCCAAACCCUAUCUCUCCUUGGUCGUGCGAAUCAAGGUGUCUGUCAUCCAUCCGUCGUUGUCCACCGUCCGUCCAUUAGUCUCCGUCACAUCUGGGUCUCUCCUUGGUCGUGGGUCUUCAACAACACAGAUCUGUAGUUCUGGUUCUCUGUCGUGGGUCUGUAAAUCUGUAGAAAUCAACUCUAGUUCCGUGGGUCUUCAACAACAUAGAUUUUUCAUGGGUGUCUUGCAGAUUGGUCUCUGUCGUGCGUAUCACGUCCGUUCGUCAGUCGCCAUCACGUUUGGGUCUCUCCUUGGCCAUGGGUCUCUAUCAGUCGUCAACAAUGUAGAUCUGUAGUCGUAGGUCUCUGCCAUGGGUCGUAGAUCUGUAGAAAUGAACUCUAACAUGUAGAAAAAGAAUGAGGAAGACAAGGGAGUAGGGAAGUUGUUGUUCUACGAUUUGGCAUUGUAACAUGGAGAAGAGGUCAGCGAAGUUAGAGUAGAAAUCAAGUCCAACCAUUAUUAAUUCCAUCUAAUUAUGGGGACUUCACCUUGAGUUUUUAUGAGAAUGGAUUGUUGUACUAUAACAGUGAGGGAGGGGUUGAUUCGGUCCUGUUUUUUUACUGAUAAAUAGAUGUGAAGUUGAAGAAAAAUUAAGCCUCCAAAGCCGAUUUUGGUGAAAGAAACUUAUUGUCAUGUAAGGGAAGAAGAAGCUAAUUUUUUGUGUUUUUGAAGGAGUUUUAACUUCUCCAUCAAGCCUUGGAGCAAAUAGAGGUCAGGGACGCAUGCAACCCAGUUGGUUCUUGCCCUGAAUAGGGUCAUCUGUUUUAACUCCUACAUCAAAAGAUCCCUCAAGGAAACAUGUCAAGUUGGAAGAUUCCAUUGUGUCCUGUGCACUAUCCUCUAACACAAUAUUUCCUGCAAAAGACAAGGAUUUGGAAGGAAGAUAGGAAGAUUGCAUUGGACAUGUUAUAAGAAGGUUGACAAGUAGAGAAGGUGCAUCCAACACAAAAAGGACUUCAUAACAACAUUAAUAACAAGUACAAGGUAAUAUUUAUAAGAUGUUUAUCUCUUCUUGGACAUGUCUUAUUAUAUAUUGUUUGCCCAUUUUUCUCUACUUGUAAGAAGUCAUGCUUUCGAUUUGGAUCAAACCUAUGGUAGAUGGUAGAGAGAACAUAACGAAGGAGCAAUUGAAAAAUUAUUUGGAAAAUACUAUAUAAUGGCAACAAGUUUGUGUGCACUUUUUUUUUUGGGGGGAUAUUUACAAGUUUUAGUUUAUAUUAAGUUCUCGUUCUUUUUUUAUACACCAAUAAAAGUUGUUUGGAUCUAACAAAAUUUUAAUU